CUACUUGAACUACUGCAUUUACUGUUCUUUUGGGCUGCAUCUUUCUCUAUCUCUACUGGAGGGUAACUUGAAAUAGCAGGAUCGUUUCCACCAACGAUAUCUAUAUCUUCAUCAACUGGUUCAUUGCCUUUGCAAGGUUGCAAUGACGAAUUGCUAAAUCCAGACUCAUUAAGAAGCUCCAUUUCACAUGCUUCUGCUUUGGCCUGGUUUUUCCGUUUCUCGAGUAAAUAAUCAUCCAAAAGCUUCCGCAAUUUAAACAAUGUAUCAUCACUGAGAGCAUCAAUAUCAAUCUCAAUUUCA
RNAcentral lists this unclassified non-coding RNA (300 nucleotides) under Hevea brasiliensis (rubber tree). Lineage: Eukaryota; Viridiplantae; Streptophyta; Magnoliopsida; Malpighiales; Euphorbiaceae. The record is from RNAcentral.